RNAcentral lists this ribosomal RNA (454 nucleotides) under uncultured bacterium. Its description in RNAcentral is "bacterial SSU rRNA". It matches the Rfam family "Bacterial small subunit ribosomal RNA", at positions 30 to 504 of the family's 1533-position model. The record is from RNAcentral.
UGAACGCUGGCGGCGUGCUUAACACAUGCAAGUCGAACGAUGAAGCCUAGCUUGCUAGGUGGAUUAGUGGCGCACGGGUGAGUAAUAUAUAGAUAAUGUGCCUUUUAGUCUGGGAUAGCCAUUGGAAACGAUGAUUAAUACUAGAUACUCCUUCUAAACCUAAGUUUAGUCGGGAAAGUUUUUCGCUAAAAGAUCAGUCUAUAUCCCAUCAGUUAGUUGGUAAGGUAACGGCUUACCAAGGCAAUGACGGGUAGCGGGUUUGAGAGGAUGAUCCGCCACACUGGUACUGAGACACGGACCAGACUCCUACGGGAGGCAGCAGUGAGGAAUAUUGCACAAUGGGGGAAACCCUGAUGCAGCAACGCCGCGUGGAGGAUGACGCAUUUCGGUGUGUAAACUCCUUUUAUGAGUCAAGAAAAUGACGGUAGCUCAUGAAUAAGCACCGGCUAACUCC